RNAcentral lists this ribosomal RNA (499 nucleotides) under uncultured bacterium. Its description in RNAcentral is "partial 16S ribosomal RNA". It matches the Rfam family "Bacterial small subunit ribosomal RNA", at positions 28 to 507 of the family's 1533-position model. The record is from RNAcentral.
GACGAACGCUGGCGGCGUGCCUAAUACAUGCAAGUCGAGCGAAGUUUUUCUGGUUCUUGCACUAGAAAAACUUAGCGGCGAACGGGUGAGUAACACGUAAAGAACCUGCCUCAUUGACUUGGCUAAAUAUUGGAAACGAUAGCUAAUACCGGAUAACAGUAUUUCUCGCAUGAGAGAUAUUUAAAAGUUGGUUAUGCUAAGACUAUGAGAUUGCUUUGCGGUGCAUUGGCUAGUUGGUGGGGUAAAGGCCCACCAGGGCGACGAUGCAUCACCGACCGGAGAGGGUGAUCGGCCACACUGGGACUGAGACACGGCCCAGACGCCUACGGGAGGCGGCAGUAGGGAAGCUUCCGCAAUGGGCGAAAGCCUGACGGAGCAACGCCGCGUGAGUGAAGAAGGAUUUCGGUUCGUAAAGCUCUGUUGUUAGGGAAGAAUGGAUAUGUAGUAACUAUACAUGUAAGAGACGGUACCUAACCAGAAAGCCACGGCUAACUACGUG